Molecule: ribosomal RNA, 253 nt
Filed under: uncultured bacterium
Lineage: Bacteria
Description: partial 16S ribosomal RNA
Rfam family: Bacterial small subunit ribosomal RNA
Source: RNAcentral
UACGUAGGGUGCAAGCGUUGUCCGGAAUUAUUGGGCGUAAAGAGCUUGUAGGCGGUUUGUCGCGUCUGCUGUGAAAUUUCGGGGCUCAACCCCGAACUUGCAGUGGGUACGGGCAGACUAGAGUGCGGUAGGGGAGACUGGAAUUCCUGGUGUAGCGGUGAAAUGCGCAGAUAUCAGGAGGAACACCGAUGGCGAAGGCAGGUCUCUGGGCCACUACUGACGCUGAGAAGCGAAAGCAUGGGGAGCGAACAGG